This 591-nucleotide ribosomal RNA is filed under the name uncultured bacterium. RNAcentral describes it as "bacterial SSU rRNA". It matches the Rfam family "Bacterial small subunit ribosomal RNA", at positions 338 to 948 of the family's 1533-position model. The record is from RNAcentral.
CCUACGGGAGGCAGCAGUUAGGGAUCUUGCGCAAUGGGCGAAAGCCUGACGCAGCGACGCCGCGUGGGGGAAGACGGCCCUCGGGUUGUAAACCUCUUUUCCAUGGGACGAGGCAGGACGGUACUGUGGGAAUAAGCAUCGGCUAACUCCGUGCCAGCAGCCGCGGUAAUACGGGGGAUGCAAGCGUUGUCCGGAUUCACUGGGCGUAAAGGGCGCGUAGGCGGUUUGCUCAGUCGGUCUUAUAAGUGCGGGGCUCACCCCCGUGAGGGGAUCGAGACGGGUGAACUGGAGCGCGGUAGAGGGAUGCGGAAUGCCGGGUGUAGUGGUGAAAUGCGUAGAGAUCCGGCGGAACACCGGUGGUGAAGACGGCAUCCUGGGCCGAUAGCUGACGCUGAGGCGCGAGAGCGUGGGGAGCGAACCGGAUUAGAUACCCGGGUAGUCCACGCCGUAAACGGUGGACACUAGGUGUGGGGGGUAUCGACCCCUCCCGUGCCGGCGCGAACGCAGGAAGUGUCCCGCCUGGGAGUACGGCCGCAAGGCUAAAACGUCAAAUGAAUUGACGGCUGAGACNGCGAGACGACACGAGGAGAG